AAUCAACGCUGGCGGCGUGCCUAACACAUGCAAGUCGAACGAGAAAGCGGGGGCAACCCUGUGAGUAAAGUGGCAGACGGGUGAGUAACACGUGAACAACCUACCCUCGAGUGGGGAAUAACACCGCGAAAGCGGUGCUAAUACCGCAUAACAUUCCCGGGACGCAUGUCCUGGGAAUCAACGGCGAAAGUCGCUUGAGGAGGGGUUCGCGCCUGAUUAGCUAGUUGGUGAGGUAACGGCCCACCAAGGCGACGAUCAGUAGCCGGCCUGAGAGGGCGUACGGCCACACUGGAACUGAGACACGGUCCAGACUCCUACGGGAGGCAG
This 327-nucleotide ribosomal RNA is filed under the name uncultured Acidobacteriota bacterium. RNAcentral's name for it is "bacterial SSU rRNA". It matches the Rfam family "Bacterial small subunit ribosomal RNA", at positions 32 to 351 of the family's 1533-position model. Lineage: Bacteria; Pseudomonadati; Acidobacteriota. The record is from RNAcentral.